This is a long non-coding RNA of Astatotilapia calliptera (eastern happy), 1403 nucleotides long. The record is from Ensembl. NCBI's taxonomy places the organism in Eukaryota, Metazoa, Chordata, Actinopteri, Cichliformes, Cichlidae.
AUACAACUGUCAUGGUCUAAAUCACUCAGACAUUCAUCUGGUCAGGGCUCGCUGGUCUUAUUAACAGCCAUAUCUAACGCUCUCCUCUAUAAUUCCCUUUGAGAUCUGAACAAAAGGAUAGGAAGUGCUUUACUCUGACAAGUCAGACUUCACUUCACAGGAGGAAUUACAGCUUUUCAUUUUCUGUCACUGGAGCGUUUUAGUGAGGUGCCCCACUACCAUAACGAUGUUCUUUCUCUCUUGUUUUAUGACUUGAGCCACGCACAAAGAGUUGAUUCACAGUAAUCACUUAUGAAAACACAAAUGCCCGUGUGUGUAUGUAAGCGACAACCGCAAAAGUACACACACUAUAUAUUCAAAUACUGAGAGAAAUAUAGUCAGCGCCAUUUGUGCCAGACACAAAAAAUUACACCCUCAAGUCGAACAAAAACACACAAAUUCCCAGAAGGGAAACAAAAUUCAAAUGUGUGGUCAGUCGAGUUAGCCCCGGUGUCCAUUAUUGCUUCUGUCGGAAUCCAUUAGGAUAAACACAGUUUACAUUCUCUGGACAACCGCAGUAGCAUGUUGUCCUCUCACAUGUGGCAGCCAUAUUACUUCUGUCCUUCCCAAGCCAUCAGAUAGUGGCACAUGCCAUCUAGGAAACAAAACCUCAAGUAAUGCUAAAGGCUGUAAAAUUUUGGACUCCAUUAAUCAUCUCUUUUCCUCUCUCACUUGAAAAAAAAAACAAAAAAAAAAACCCAGAAAAACUCACCGUAUUUUAUUUUGGCUCUGAAAAUAAAUCAAUAUCUAGAGAAUGUCCGUGUUCAAAGAUGAGAGAGCGACUAUCAAGCACCCAGCUCUCUCGACCAAAGUGCAUGUUUAUCCAGCUUGUGGGAAUUCCUGUUCCUCAGGAUGGAUCUGGAGUAGUCAUGAUUGGCGAUGUUCCCGUCCCACCCUGGCUGGCCCUUUCAUGAAAACCGUAUCCAACACAGAAGACUGCUCACUUUUCCUCAGCUCACAGAUAUUACACUUUUAAACUGGCAGCAGGAGAUAUUGCUACUGAGUUUACACUACAAAAGAAAAUGGAUAUGAUCCCUGACAAACACAUUCACAUCUGGACAUGCGGUUAUUCAGAGUGAACAUAUGUGACACAUCAAACUGUCGUAGCUUUGCAUGCAAGUGAACCAGCAAGACUUAGAGUCAGCAAAAGUCUCUGCUGCUUUUGCCUUUUACUUUCUUCUACAGAUCUAUAAUUCCACAUCCUCAAGUAAUUCUUUACCUUCACCCCUUCAAAAAUCCUCUUUCAGUAAAGCUCAUCAAAAUUGCACUCUAUUUCCACACUACAGCAAGUCUACACUGUGACCUUCACAAAGCAAUAACUGCCAGCAUGAUAGAUACACUGUAUACACAAAGCAUUUACAUAU